Long non-coding RNA from Epinephelus moara (kelp grouper), 2180 nucleotides. RefSeq lists it as uncharacterized. The transcript has 11 exons. Lineage: Eukaryota; Metazoa; Chordata; Actinopteri; Perciformes; Serranidae. The record is from RefSeq and is a predicted model, not a curated record.
GGUAAAUAAAAUUCUCAUUGAAGAAUAUCCCAAAAUGGAGGCGGUGGAAGGGUGGUUGUUCUACAAGGCUUUAGGUGGCCACGGUAGAAGAAAAUUGCUUGCCAUUCCUCCUGAUGUAGACGGUUAUACAGGUAGACUGAUUCGCAGUGUUUCGGGUGCUGGGAAGACGACCAUGUACAUUGUUCCACUGCAGCAGGACCUUGAUCUUACUCCACUGCCAUCUGAUGCCACUGAAUUUCAAAAAAUGCUUAAGGCUGCAUGCCAAGUGUGCAAAGAAAACAUGCCUCUGCAUAUCCUAGCAUUGCACAUCGAGGGUUGUAUGGAGUCUGCAGCAGAUGAUGAUGAUGAUGAGGACUGGCAGAAUGAGGUCCAGGUUCUUUCUGUCACAAACUCACCACUUGCGCACCCUAACAAAGAGUCCAGAGAUUGUGGCCAGGAUAGAAAGGAAUGCCCUAUAUGUUGUGGCUGCUUUCCAUCAGAUGAAAUUGUUCUGCAUGCAAGCCUGUGUGGGGAAAGUCUACAGGGCAUGUUGAACUACAGUACAGACAGCUGUGUGCUACGCGAGGGAAGCGUAUCUAUGGCCGAUAUGUCUAGUGACGAUGAUGUCCUCCAGUGGCUUGCAAGCCAAGUAGAUGCAAGCAAAGAUUUUAAGAUCUGCAUCACCUGGGACAACCUCGUCCAAAGAGGCCUAAUUCAGUGGCAGAGACAGAAGAAGGGCUCCCUGUCAACAAACUCAAUGUGACUUUCAUUGGUGAAGCUGGAAUCGACACUGGAGCAUUAAGCAAAGAAUUUUUGACUGAAAUGAUGCAUGGCAUUGAGAGGCGAUUGUUUGAGGGCAGUGGCAAGAAGGGAAAGAGUCCUGUCUACUCUAUGUGACCUAGAAAAUGGUUUCUACAGAACUGCAGGAGAAGUGUUUUCUGUCAGCCUAGCUCAGGGUGGCCCAGCACCAUGCUUCUUCAGAAAUUGGUGUUACCAGUUUCUUGCAACAGGGGAUUUUGAUGCUCUGCAGCUGACCAAAGAUGAUGUGGAUGAUCUUGAAUAUGCUUUACUCAUAGAAAGGGUGGAGGCAGCAACUGAUCUGACACAGUUGACAGAUGAAAUCGUGAGUUGUGGUUACACUGGUUUGCUAAAGAUGGACCGAAAGGACAGUAUCAUAAGAGCCAUUGUUCUGCAUGCUACAAUGCGUCUGACUCCUAUGCUUCAGCAAAUUAGAAAUGGGAUGAAGAUCUACAACCUUCUGGAUGUGAUUGGGAAGCAUCAAACUCUCUGCUCAAACCUGUUUGUCCCCAAAGAGGACGAUGACAGAGUCAGAAUGAAGACCAGAAAAUGUGUGAGCCUCUGACCCAAGAGGAGCUGCUAAGUGAAGGGCACUGGAAUCAACAAAAACACGCAAGCCUGUCUGUCCCAAUAGUAAUGCAGUGGUUAACUGGACAAAGGCACAAGCCCCUUCUUCCAUCAGAGAGGGCAGAUUUUAAAAUAAAUCUAAGAUUUGAACACCACUGUAAUGAGAAAAUGCCUGGUCACCACAUUUGUUUCCCACUUGUAAGUGCCUGCACAAAUACAAUAACUAUUCCUGUCGAACAUAUGAAAACAUACACAGAGUUCAGAGAUAUAAUGACAGUAGCAAUCAGAAUGGGUAGAGACUUCGGUCGUGUGUAGAGGUCAUGUUUUGUGACCACUGAUGUUUACUUGAAAGUCAGCCAGUAUUGUGAAUUUUUUUUGGCAUUUUUGUUAAAUCUGUUCAGUGAGCUAUUUAUUGUUCUGAGAGAGUCUUAAUAAAAAAAAUACAGAUAGCAUAACCCUAACCAUAAAAACAGCUCAAUAUUACGGUUUGGUUCUUUACACUUGAUUCUCCCAUUGCAUUGUUUUUUUAGUUUGGGAUCACUGCUAACAAUUUAUUUGAAAAAAGGUCAUUUAAGAACUCUGUAUUUGCAUUUUGUUUACAGCGCACUGACAAAUGUACAUGUAAUAUAGAACCUUGAAAUGUGAUGCUGUUCCUCAUAUUACAAGGUUACUUGUACUGUUGAAAAGUUGAAAUUGUUCAGUCUUCCACAUAUGCAUUAGUUUCAACAUGUGUAAGGCAAAUUCAUGUCAUUCAAGUGAAAUCAACUUUGUGGGGGUUUGGAUUUUUUACUAAAUCGUCAGCAAAAAUUAACUUGACAACAAUAAAUAUGGAUAUA